Molecule: non-coding RNA, 84 nt
Filed under: pig gut metagenome
Description: NiCo riboswitch
Rfam family: NiCo (Nickel/Cobalt) riboswitch aptamer
Source: RNAcentral
ACAGUACAAACUGAACAGACAGGAGCAUUUGCUCUGUGUCGGGUCACAAAAGUGACAGUGGAAUUUUUACACCCACGGGACAGU